Molecule: long non-coding RNA, 1935 nt
Organism: Oreochromis niloticus (Nile tilapia)
Lineage: Eukaryota; Metazoa; Chordata; Actinopteri; Cichliformes; Cichlidae
Source: Ensembl
AUGCUCACUUUCCAGCCGCGCACGUUUGUUGGAGCACAGAGUGGCCGCCUUUCAUCGCUGCCUCGCUCAGUUUCAGCUGGGACGCAGACUGUUAAAAAUGAGAGCGUUUCAACGCUGGACUCUCUCUCACCGCCUGUGUGCAUCGCGUCACCUCCGGAGGAGGCUGCCGGUAACCGCGUCUUGCAUGCUAGCUCUCCGUCCUUGGAGGGAGCCCAGGCUGCUGCAUCAGGGCUCCCGGAUUGGGAGGGUGUUGUUUCACAAGGUGGUGUCCACAGAGGCUUCCCUAAGAGGGUGGGGAGCGCUGUCCAAGGGUGCAUCAGUGAGAGGGAUCUGGUCCGCAGCUCAGCGCCAGCUGCACAUCAACCACUUAGAGCUGUUAGCAGUGUUCUUAGCUCUAAAACAUUUCCGUCCAGUCCUGGAGGGCCAGCAUGUCUUAGUCAGGACGGACAAUUCAACAGUGGUGUCUUACAUAAACAGGCAGGGAGGAACACGCUCUCUUCCCCUGUUGCAGCUGUCUCGCUCUCUGCUGUUAUGGUGCAGUGUUCAUUUUCUGUCUCUGAGAGCCACCCAUGUGCUCCUGUAUGCAUUUCCCCCAGUGGAAAUGAUGUCUCCAGUUCUAGAGAGAGUGCGUCGGUGUUCCCUCUCUCUGAUUCUAGUGGCCCCUUGGUGGCCCACAAGGUCGUGGUAUGCAGAGAUAAUCAGCCUGCUAGCAGAGAGUCCUUGGCAGCUUCCUCUCCACAGGGAUCUCCUCUCUCAGGCGGGAGGAGAAAUGUUUCAUCCGCGCCCAGAUCUGUGGCGCCUUCAUGCUUACCUGCUGAGAGGCUAAACUUGAUUGCGAAGGGUUUGCCACCUAGUGUGAUAGCGACGAUUCAGAGCGCUAGGGCCUCAUCUACUAGAGGCUUGUACGCUUACAAAUGGCGAGCCUUCGAGCAAUGGUGCCAGGACUGCCACACUCUCCCAUUUCAGUGCUCUAUUGUGGAUGUUUUGACAUUCCUGCAGGAGCUGCUGGAUAAGGGCCUUUCAUUUUCGACAGUUAAGGUUUAUUUAGCAGCUAUAUCUGCUUGUCAUAUUGGCUUUGACGGGGUGACACCAGGUGCACAUCCCCUCGCCAUACAUUUUCUGAAAGGGGUUCGCCGGCUGAGACCCGUGCUUAAGUCCAGUGUCCCUGCUUGGGACUUGUCUUUGGUGCUGGAGGCCCUUUGUAGCCCCCCGUGUGAACCCAUUGAGUCUGUGGAUAUGAAAUUUCUUUCAUAUAAGGCUGCAUUACUUCUCACUUUGGCUUCGGCAAAGCGAGUGGGUGACCUUCAUGCGCUGUCUGUGCAUCCCGCCUGCACACAGUUUUCUCCUGAUGGCCACAAGGUCGUAUUGCGUCCAAAUGCUGCCUAUUUUCCCAAGAUCAUGCCUGCAUCUUAUAGCUCAAUGGAGUUUGAGUUGCUGAGCUUUUGCUCCCCUCCUUUUGCAUCUGAGGAGCAGAGGAGGAUGCAUUCUCUUUGUCCAGUGCGUGUGCUACGCACCUACAUUGAGCGCACUCAGAAUGUGCAUUUAUGUGACCAGCUGUUUGUCUGCUUCGCCAAUCCAAAUAGAGGUAGAUCUCUGUCCAAACAGAGGCUGUCCCACUGGAUUAUAGAAGCUAUCUCACUGGCAUACGGCACCAGAGGUCUUGCUUUGCCCCACGGGGUGAGAGCUCAUUCCACCAGGGGGAUGGCAACCUCAUGGGCUCUUUUUAAAGGGGUGCCUGUAGCUGAUAUUUGUGCGGCAGGUAGUUGGGCAUCACCGCACACUUUUGUGCAGUUUUAUCGGUUGGACGUUACAGCCCCUUCGGUGGCUUUCUGCUGGGUCUACCACUCACUAAGGAAGUGGUGGCCCGAUUCCGGUUCGGUGGCUGCUCUGCGGGGCGUGUAUAUAUGUCCCAUACUUAUGUGUUGUACCGAGUGA